This 160-nucleotide ribosomal RNA is filed under the name Capsicum pubescens (rocoto). RNAcentral's name for it is "5.8S ribosomal RNA". It matches the Rfam family "5.8S ribosomal RNA". Rfam says of the family: 5.8S ribosomal RNA (5.8S rRNA) is a component of the large subunit of the eukaryotic ribosome. It is transcribed by RNA polymerase I as part of the 45S precursor that also contains 18S and 28S rRNA. The record is from RNAcentral. Lineage: Eukaryota; Viridiplantae; Streptophyta; Magnoliopsida; Solanales; Solanaceae.
AAAACGACUCUCGGCAACGGAUAUCUCAGCUCUCGCAUCGAUGAAGAACGCAGCGAAAUGCGAUACUUGGUGUGAAUUGCAGAAUCCCGUGAACCGUCUACUCUUUCAACGAAAGUUGCGCCCGAAGCCACUAGGUCGAGUGCACGUCUGCCUGGGCGUC